This 27-nucleotide non-coding RNA is filed under the name Mus musculus (house mouse). The record is from RNAcentral. Lineage: Eukaryota; Metazoa; Chordata; Mammalia; Rodentia; Muridae.
UAAUGUUCAGGGCUCCCAGGGUGUAGA